AGGUAAUAGUCCUGUAGGUAAAAAAUUAAGUCUUUUAGGUCUAAUCCAGAGUACCACGAGACACGUGAAACCUUGUGGGAAGCAGGGAGGACCACCUCCCAAGGCUAAAUACUAACUGGUGACCGAUAGUGAAGCAGUACCGUGAGGGAAAGGUGAAAAGAACCCCGGGAGGGGAGUGAAAUAGAACCUGAAACCGUAUGCUUACAAACAGUGGGAGCACGAUAAUGUGUGACCGCGUGCUUAUUGUAGAACGAGCCAG
This 259-nucleotide ribosomal RNA is filed under the name Clostridium tetani. RNAcentral's name for it is "partial 23S ribosomal RNA". It matches the Rfam family "Bacterial large subunit ribosomal RNA", at positions 361 to 623 of the family's 2925-position model. Lineage: Bacteria; Bacillati; Bacillota; Clostridia; Eubacteriales; Clostridiaceae. The record is from RNAcentral.